RNAcentral lists this ribosomal RNA (321 nucleotides) under uncultured eukaryote. RNAcentral describes it as "partial 18S ribosomal RNA". It matches the Rfam family "Eukaryotic small subunit ribosomal RNA", at positions 1470 to 1796 of the family's 1831-position model. The record is from RNAcentral.
CCCUUAGAUGUCCUGGGCCGCACGCGCGCUACACUGACAUGUUCAACAAGCCACCUAGUUCGACAGGAUUUGGGAAAUCUUUGAACGCAUGUCGUGAUAGGGAUAGAUCAUUGCAAUUAUUGAUCUUGAACGAGGAAUUCCUAGUAAACGCGAGUCAUCAGCUCGCAUUGAUUACGUCCCUGCCCUUUGUACACACCGCCCGUCGCACCUACCGAUUGAAUGUUUCGGUGAAGAUUCCGGAUAGGACUUUUUUGAUUUAUUUCAAUUUUGUCUUAAAAGCUAUCUAAACCUCAACAUUUAGAGGAAGGUGAAGUCGUAACA